GGUAGUUGCCACGAGGCCAGUGGCCACGUGUGCGGAGGAAGACACGCCAUCUUUAGAACAUUUUACCAACGCUCAAGAGUUGACCUCAACCCCUCACGUGUCCUCGCUGCAGGAGGUCCAUGAGCCGUGACGACCCGCUGAUCCCCGAGGAAGAGAGAGUCCGAGUGUUGAGGGAAUGGGAUGAAGAGGAUGAUGAGGAUGAUGAUGAUACAGGAGCGUGCAGGUUCCAGUUCUUCUUGUUUGGUGUGAAGUGGAAUGCUGCUGCUGGUCUUCUUCGGUGUUUUCCACUUCCAUGAGGAAUGCUCGGAGCUCUGGAUGCGCCCGGAUCGGCCCCCUGGGCUCCAUGAAUUGUCAUCGGCGAUACUGUGAAGGAAGGCGGAGACGUGUGAGCACAUCGAGUCGUGUCCGGAUCGGCCUGAGCGUCCGGCCCGUCGGCAGAUAACCUGCAGCGAAGCGUCCGGUGUCAAUCUAGUGGAGCUCAUCGAUGGUUGACCAAGUUAUUUACAGUCUCUCUUAGUACUAAUUAAAAUGAACACAUCAAUAUCAAGAAUGUUUCUCCAGUGCUGAUGUACAACAGUCUAAAUCUACACAACUUAAAAACACAUUAUGGUUGUACUGUAACUAGCUUUUUUAUGUUAUGAAGGCGAAUGCUGUGUGUCUACGUUUGUAAUCUUCACCUGCAGCUAACAAGUUCUAAGUUCUUUUUCAUUCAGGCAUAAUUAAACUAUUUACAAAUAACAUUUAAUGGAGACUGCACGGUGAACCAGUGACGUCUUCACAUCGCUUGUGUCCAAAACUGGAAAUUAAUAUUUAAAUUCUCCUAUUUCCAUUUUUGCUUGAUAAAUGAUUCAAACAAUUGAUCUUUUUUGUUUUUAAUAACAUGUCAGUUGUACAUGAACUGUGUGUCGUCUAGUUGAUUAUUUGACCGUUUCUGCAAUUCUCCCGACAGCCGACAAAACUCAUUUAUUUCAGGUUUAGAAUUUAUUAAUCUUGAAUGGAUGAAAGUUAUUGAUGAACUCAAACAUUAAGACAUCAAAAUACAUCAGAAUUAUCGGCUAUUCUUAGUUUGAAUUUGUUCAACCCAAGUUUAUCUCCAUAUCAACACUCAAGUGUCCAAAGUGUUUCCUUUUGUCUUAAUGGAACUUCUCAAGUCUCUUUUCAACCAGACGACACUUCAGUAGCACAUUAUUAGAAUUACCGUCAGGGUGUCUCCGUCCCACACCGGAGACAGUGAUCAGCUUCAUUUCAGGAAGCUCUGGACUUGAGUUCCUCUGAACUACAAUUAAAGCAUCUACUGCAUUGUGACAGAAGCCUGGAGCCAUCCGACAUGCUGAGCCCUGCUUGGUGUUCGUGGUACUGCGGCGCCCCGCGGUGGACGUGUGAGGUCACAGCAGCAGUGCAGCAGGCCGUUGGUUUGUGUGAUGUUUUUAAAAGUUCUGCUGCAGAUGUUUUGUGCUAAUCAUUUAUACCAAAUAAAAAGGAAUGCCAUAGGCAAGUUAUUCAAGACAUGUUUUACUCUUCGUUUUCAUUUAUAUAAAACACAAUAGAGAAAUCAAUAUACACUUAUAACAUUAUCAAAGGCACUGAUGUUAGAGUACAACAACACAGGACAAAUGUUCCUCAGUUAGCAUCCUGUUUUAUGGGGGAAAUUUUGGCCGAUUGCCCGAUUAAGCUUCAGCUAAACUUUAGUAAGGACAACAGCAAAAACCAUUGUUAAUAUAUAUGUAGAAAAUCCCUUUUAUUUAUAUUUUCACGCUGACGGCUUUGCUAACAGGAAUAUAGCAAAAAGAGAGUUUGUAGCAGUAACUUACAACUCAUUUAGAUGCUGAUCAACAUCUCCUAACUUUACAACAUGAAAACAUGCUCAAACAGAAUGAACUCUGGUUAGAAGCGGUAGUGUAAUAAAGGAUAAAAGGUAGCGACGUGCACUCUUUUCCACUAAUGACAUGUAAAAACAGAUUUAACGGAUGCGUGAACCGUGAGCAUGUUAGCGCCGAGGGUUCAAAGGUCAAACGUUAUCCUCCUCCCAAUUUACUGUUUGCACUUUAUCCAUAUAAAUGACUCGACUUUGCCACACUGAGCAUUUCAUGUCCUGCGACUGACAGAACGAUAACGAAGCUUUCAUUAUUCCAGCAUGUC
Non-coding RNA from Gasterosteus aculeatus aculeatus (three-spined stickleback), 2139 nucleotides. The record is from RefSeq and is a predicted model, not a curated record. Lineage: Eukaryota; Metazoa; Chordata; Actinopteri; Perciformes; Gasterosteidae.